RNAcentral lists this ribosomal RNA (473 nucleotides) under Mogibacterium vescum. RNAcentral's name for it is "bacterial SSU rRNA". It matches the Rfam family "Bacterial small subunit ribosomal RNA", at positions 28 to 500 of the family's 1533-position model. Lineage: Bacteria; Bacillati; Bacillota; Clostridia; Peptostreptococcales; Anaerovoracaceae. The record is from RNAcentral.
GAUGAACGCUGGCGGCGUGCCUAAUACAUGCAAGUCGAGCGAGAUGUUAGCGCAUGAACCUUCGGGGGAUUAUGCUAACGGAAAGCGGCGGACGGGUGAGUAACGCGUAGGCAACCUGCCCCUGACAGAGGGAUAGCCAUUGGAAACGAUGAUUAAAACCUCAUGACACCGUAGAAGCACAUGCUUCAUCGGUCAAAGAUUUAUCGGUCAGGGAUGGGCCUGCGUCUGAUUAACUAGUUGGUGAGGUAACGGCUCACCAAGGUGACGAUCAGUAGCCGACCUGAGAGGGUGAUCGGCCACAUUGGAACUGAGACACGGUCCAAACUUCUACGGAAGGCAGCAGUAGGGAAUCUUGCACAAUGGGCGAAAGCCUGAUGCAGCAACGCCGCGUGAAGGAUGAAGGCCUUCGGGUUGUAAACUUCUGUUCUAAGGGAAGAAACAAAUGACGGUACUUAGGAGCGAGCCCCGGCUAA